CCUACGGGUGGCAGCAGUAGGGAAUCUUUCACAAUGGGCGAAAGCCUGAUGGAGCAACGCCGCGUGCAGGAUGAAGGCCUUCGGGUUGUAAACUGCUUUUAUAAGCGAGAAAUAUGAUGGUAACUUAUGAAUAAGGAUCGGCUAACUACGUGCCAGCAGCCGCGGUCAUACGUAGGAUCCGAGCAUUAUCCGGUGUGACUGGGUGUAAAGAGUUGCGUAGGUGGCAUAAUAAGUAGCUAGUGAAAUCUGGUGGCUCAACCAUUCAGACUAUUAGCUAAACUGUGAAGCUCGAGACCGUUAGGGGUAACAGGAAGUUCUAGUGUAGGAGUGAAAUCCGUAGAUAUUAGAAGGAACACCGAUGGCGUAGGCAGGUUGCUGGGACGGUUCUGACACUAAGGCACGAAAGCGUAGGGAGCAAACGGGAUUAGAUACCCCAGUAGUC
RNAcentral lists this ribosomal RNA (442 nucleotides) under uncultured bacterium. Its description in RNAcentral is "partial 16S ribosomal RNA". It matches the Rfam family "Bacterial small subunit ribosomal RNA", at positions 338 to 795 of the family's 1533-position model. The record is from RNAcentral.